CGGUUGAUCCUGCCGGAGGUCACUGCUAUUGGGAUUCGACUAAGCCAUGCGAGUCGAGAGGGUUCGGCCCUCGGCUGACGGCUCAGUAACACGUGGAUAAUCUGCCCUUAGGUGGAGGAUAAUCUCGGGAAACUGAGGAUAAUACUCCAUAGAUCUAGGAUGCUGGAAUGCAUCUAGAUUGAAAGCUCCGGCGCCUAAGGAUGAGUCUGCGGACUAUCAGGUUGUAGUCAGGGUAAAGACCUGACUAGCCUACGACGGAUACGGGUUGUGAGAGCAAUAACCCGGAGACGAUAUCUGAGACACGAUAUCGGGCCCUACGGGGCGCAGCAGGCGCGAAAACUUCACACUGUGCGAAAGCGCGAUGAGGGAAUCCCAAGUGUUUGCUCGUAAGAGUAAACUGUUUCUUUGUUUAAAACGCAGAGAGAGUAAGGGCUGGGUAAGACGGGUGCCAGCCGCCGCGGUAAUACCUGCAGCUCGAGUGGUGAUCAUUAUUAUUGGGCCUAAAACGUCCGUAGCCGGUUUAGUAAAUGCCUGGGUAAAUCGUGUAGCUUAACUAUACGACUUCCGGGUAGACUGCUAAACUUGAGACCGGGAGAGGCUAGAGGUACUCCUGGGGUAGAGGUGAAAUUCUGUAAUCCUAGGGGGACCACCAGUGGCGAANGCGUCUAGCUAGAACGGGUCUGACGGUGAGGGACGAAGCCCUGGGGCACAAACCGGAUUAGAUACCCGGGUAGUCCAGGGUGUAAACGCUGCUUGCUUGAUGUUAGUUGGGCUCCGAGCCCAACUAGUGUCGGAGAGAAGUUGUUAAGCAAGCUGCCUGGGAAGUACGGUCGCAAGACUGAAACUUAAAGGAAUUGGCGGGGGAGCAC
Molecule: ribosomal RNA, 869 nt
Filed under: uncultured archaeon
Lineage: Archaea
Description: bacterial SSU rRNA
Rfam family: Archaeal small subunit ribosomal RNA
Source: RNAcentral